RNAcentral lists this ribosomal RNA (426 nucleotides) under uncultured Actinomycetes bacterium. RNAcentral describes it as "bacterial SSU rRNA". It matches the Rfam family "Bacterial small subunit ribosomal RNA", at positions 233 to 671 of the family's 1533-position model. The record is from RNAcentral. Lineage: Bacteria; Bacillati; Actinomycetota; Actinomycetes.
GCGGCCUAUCAGCUUGUUGGUGAGGUAAUGGCUCACCAAGGCGACGACGGGUAGCCGGCCUGAGAGGGCGACCGGCCACACUGGGACUGAGACACGGCCCAGACUCCUACGGGAGGCAGCAGUGGGGAAUAUUGGGCAAUGGAGGGAACUCUGACCCAGCGACGCCGCGUGCGGGAUGAAGGCCUUCGGGUUGUAAACCGCUUUCAGCAGGGAAGAAGCGAAAGUGACGGUACCUGCAGAAGAAGCACCGGCUAACUAUGUGCCAGCAGCCGCGGUAAUACAUAGGGUGCAAGCGUUGUCCGGAAUUAUUGGGCGUAAAGAGCUCGUAGGUGGUUCGUCACGUCGGAUGUGAAAAUCUGGGGCUUAACCCCAGACCUGCAUUCGAUACGGGCGAGCUAGAGUGUGGUAGGGGAGACUGGAAUUCCU